CCCCUAGAUGUUCUGGGCCGCACGCGCGCUACACUGAACAGUUCAACAAGUCUUAACCUUGGCCGAUAGGUCUGGGUAAUCUUUGAACGCUGUUCGUGAUUGGGAUAGACCUUUGCAAUUAUGGGUCUUCAACGAGGAAUUCCUAGUAAACGCAAGUCAUCAGCUUGCAUUGAUUACGUCCCUGCCCUUUGUACACACCGCCCGUCGCACCUACCGAUUGAAUGGUCCGGUGAGACUUUCGGACCAUGGCAACGUUGCUUCAUUGGAGCGUCGCCGUGGGAAGUCAUUCAAACCUUACCAUUUAGAGGAAGGUGAAGUCGUANCA
This 325-nucleotide ribosomal RNA is filed under the name uncultured eukaryote. RNAcentral describes it as "partial 18S ribosomal RNA". It matches the Rfam family "Eukaryotic small subunit ribosomal RNA", at positions 1470 to 1796 of the family's 1831-position model. The record is from RNAcentral.